AAAAAACAAGGUUAACAAA
RNAcentral lists this small RNA (19 nucleotides) under Arabidopsis thaliana (thale cress). RNAcentral's name for it is "ATSL214470". Lineage: Eukaryota; Viridiplantae; Streptophyta; Magnoliopsida; Brassicales; Brassicaceae. The record is from RNAcentral.